ACGGGAGGCAGCAGUGGGGGAUAUUGCACAAUGGGGGAAACCCUGAUGCAGCGACGCCGCGUGAGUGAAGAAGUAUUUCGGUAUGUAAAGCUCUAUCAGCAGGGAAGAUGAUGACGGUACCUGACUAAGAAGCCCCGGCUAACUACGUGCCAGCAGCCGCGGUAAUACGUAGGGGGCAAGCGUUAUCCGGAUUUACUGGGUGUAAAGGGAGCGCAGGCGGCCAUGCAAGUCCGGUGUGAAAACCCGGGGCUCAACCCCGGGACUGCACUGGAAACUGUGGGGCUGGAGUGCCGGAGAGGUAAGCGGAAUUCCUAGUGUAGCGGUGAAAUGCGUAGAUAUUAGGAAGAACACCAGUGGCGAAGGCGGCUUACUGGACGGCAACUGACGCUGAGGCUCGAAAGCGUGGGGAGCAAACAGGAUUAGAUACCCUGGUA
Molecule: ribosomal RNA, 434 nt
Filed under: uncultured Blautia sp.
Lineage: Bacteria; Bacillati; Bacillota; Clostridia; Lachnospirales; Lachnospiraceae
Description: bacterial SSU rRNA
Rfam family: Bacterial small subunit ribosomal RNA
Source: RNAcentral